CACACACAGCACAGCUAAACUGGCCAACAGGGGCUCUCGCCGACUUCCUAGGAAACAGACCAGACCCUGGACAAGACGUGCAGGACAUCCCUAUGUCUACCCCGAGAUUUAGGAUGUCACUCUGUACCUGUCCAUCGUUUGAGGAGACAAGUGCAAUGAGAACUGUUGGAGGGUUUUGAGCAGAGAAGAGACAUGAAUGACUGGUGGUUUUGCCAAGAUCUUUCUAGCGACCCUGUUGAAAGAAGACUGCAGAACCAAGGAUGGGGAGGCAGGAAGACUAAGCUAAGAGCUGUAGCAGCUUCCAAGAGAGAGUGCUGGCCUUGGCUCAGACAAGAUGGGAGCAGUGGAGCGGCAUCGUGCUGGCUCCAAUCAAUUGCAUAAUGACUACCCUGCUGGAAGAAUUUUAGAACUCUGGUUUGCAAUUUUCAUUGUGGUCAUGACUCACGUGUCAAAUGACAUUUACAUAAAAGACCGUCUCAU
Molecule: non-coding RNA, 480 nt
Organism: Microcebus murinus (gray mouse lemur)
Lineage: Eukaryota; Metazoa; Chordata; Mammalia; Primates; Cheirogaleidae
Source: RefSeq, a predicted model, not a curated record